UACGUAGGCAGCAAGCGUUGUCCGGAAUUAUUGGGCGUAAAGAGCUCGUAGGCGGUGUGUCACGUCGGCCGUGAAAACCUGCAGCUUAACUGUGGGCGUGCGGUCGAUACGGGCAGACUAGAGUACUGCAGGGGAGACUGGAAUUCCUGGUGUAGCGGUGGAAUGCGCAGAUAUCAGGAGGAACACCGGUGGCGAAGGCGGGUCUCUGGGCAGUAACUGACGCUGAGGAGCGAAAGCGUGGGGAGCGAACAGG
Molecule: ribosomal RNA, 253 nt
Filed under: uncultured bacterium
Lineage: Bacteria
Description: partial 16S ribosomal RNA
Rfam family: Bacterial small subunit ribosomal RNA
Source: RNAcentral